AGAGAUAGAAAGAUUUAUAACAUAAGUCAAUUAGAAUUCCCACCUUUGGAUUAGGCCUCAAGCAAGCCAAAUAAGCAAAUAAUAAUCCAUGCAUCAGAUGAAACCAAAAUAACUCAAUCAAGUCUCCAAAGGAAGUCCAAAGUCAAAGGUACCAAGUGAAUCCCAAGGUCUCAAAUCACAAGUUCCCAAAAUAAAGGUCAAGAUCCUA
Molecule: long non-coding RNA, 208 nt
Filed under: Lathyrus oleraceus (garden pea)
Lineage: Eukaryota; Viridiplantae; Streptophyta; Magnoliopsida; Fabales; Fabaceae
Description: Pisum sativum (pea) long non-coding RNA (PSAT_LNC012954)
Source: RNAcentral